Molecule: small RNA, 365 nt
Filed under: Pan troglodytes (chimpanzee)
Lineage: Eukaryota; Metazoa; Chordata; Mammalia; Primates; Hominidae
Description: sense intronic
Source: RNAcentral
CUCAUACCAGCUCAAUUUUAAUUUUAAAGUGACAAAUGUACAGGUGGAAUACAAUUUUAAGCAACACCCUCCAAAUUCCUCUUACAUGACAAGAAGGAGCUGAAUGUAAUUUUACUCCAUUACCAACUAAACAGUAGUUCUUUAGCAAUAAUUAGGAAGUCACAGCACAAAAACGACACCCCAGAGUUGUGGUCCAUUUAUAGAUUUUCACAUAGGCUUCGUUGGAAGAAGUGAUUUUAUAUCUAUCCUGACCAAUGGUCAAAGUGGGCACAGAACAGUAGGAACUAAGUUGGCCCUGUUAAGCAGGCACAUGCAGCCAUGUCCGAUCCACAGAUGUGCUUUUAUUCUUUAAGAGGAUCAUCUAG